AUAGUAGGGGUUCAAUAUACCGCAGGGGGGUCAAAAUACCAUGGCUAAGUAAAAUUUUCAAAAUAUCUUUUCCAGUAUAUUAAAUACAUACAAACUACUUAUUGGAGUAAUAUAACUAUGUUAAGGAUUUAGAAUAGCUUGAAUUUUUGAAAUUCAAGGUCUAUAGUAGGGGGUUCAAUAUACCGCAGGGGGGUCAAAAUACCAUGGCUAAGUAAAAUUUUCAAAACAUCUUUU
This 234-nucleotide long non-coding RNA is filed under the name Mytilus galloprovincialis (Mediterranean mussel). The record is from RNAcentral. Lineage: Eukaryota; Metazoa; Mollusca; Bivalvia; Mytilida; Mytilidae.